AAUCCUCAGGGGCGUCUUACUCACCCUUUCCUGUGUUGGGGAGCUUCUCCUGGCUCCGCAUUUAUCCCAGACAGGCUGCUGCCCAGCUGCACUCCUCUCUGCUCUCUGUGUCGGCUUGCUGCCUUGAUGGAGUCCGACGUGGUUUCUUAGACAUCAGCUUGUAGGGUCAGUGUUCACCAGCCCUUUGUCUCCUCCCUGUGAGAGCAGCGCGCAGGAGCUGCUUCUAGGCCGCCAUCUUGACUCAACCCCUCUUAAUGAUUCCUGUGUCUCCGGCUUUUAGAACUAAAGCAGUUAUAAGAACAUAGACAUAUUCCACUCAGUCGGAGUGUUCAUAAAGCGAUAUUAAGCACCAUACUAUGUCUCAGCAACAUGCAUAUGUUUGAAUGGAGUUCAUGAAAGCCAUCAUCUACCACAGUCAUUCAUCUGGACUUCAAGUCUGGCCUGCUGGGAAGUAGGUCACCACCUCUACACUGGGCCACUGUCAAGAUCCAGCAUGUGCUAAAACUUAAUCACCACUCUAUUUGGUAGCAAUCCAAAGUGGACCAAAACAUUCCCUAAGUAAUACCACGGUCAAAAAUAUAAUGUCGAUAUGUCAAAUUUUGAUCUCUGUGAGUGGAUACUAGUAAAUGGAGAGUUGUUAUGAGUAGGAUAAGAGGAAAGCUGUUGGUUGUUUCAUAAAAGCAAAGAAAAUUAA
Pongo pygmaeus (Bornean orangutan) is the source of this 694-nucleotide long non-coding RNA. RefSeq lists it as uncharacterized. NCBI's taxonomy places the organism in Eukaryota, Metazoa, Chordata, Mammalia, Primates, Hominidae. The transcript is spliced from 3 exons. The record is from RefSeq and is a predicted model, not a curated record.